RNAcentral lists this long non-coding RNA (2341 nucleotides) under Exaiptasia diaphana. RNAcentral describes it as "uncharacterized LOC110249669, transcript variant X1". The record is from RNAcentral. Lineage: Eukaryota; Metazoa; Cnidaria; Anthozoa; Actiniaria; Aiptasiidae.
CUUCAUAAUUGUUCAAGCCAAACGCCGCUGUCGGAACAAUCCAAAAUACUCUAAUUUCACUUCCCCCGCAUAGUCUCAAUCCGCUUGCAUAAAAACCAAACUUCAAAAUGAAAGAAAAAUCGUUUCGGUUUGUGUGCGAUUGUUUUNGGCAGACAGAUUGAAGGAUUCAUAUAGUAUAUCAUUAUUACUAUUGCCUGAUGAAUAUGUCAGCCUCGCAGUGCCUUCUUCAAGGUCAUUACCAUUUCUCUAUAUACCUUGUUUUCAAAUCAGACGGGNAAUUUCACGAAAAAAAUCUAAGGCUUACGGUAAACAUUUAGCUUUCCAAUGAACUACGCGACGAUUCAACGGAAGAAAGUCGAUCAUUUCUCCCCACACUCUAUUACAAUAGAACCUUGCNUUUCGCUUUCUACUUACAGGUUAGCUUGCAACUUGGCUCAUUUUCUGAUCUGCUCACUUAUCAAUCCAUCACACAAUCUUAAUGGCAUUACUACAGCGCUCAAUCUAAAUGCAGUCGACUAACCAAGCUAGAAAGGACGGCAGUGUCGUUACACUAUUAGAAAAUAUUGGAGGGGAUGGAAAANGGACUUCUUGUGUACCACAAGAAUUCAAGGGAAAUUCUCCAUAACACNAUCACGGUUGCUCCAAGCUAUGAAGCCUAAAGUCUCUUCAAAACCCAUGUCAAUUAGUGUGGCANCCAUUAAUUUGACAAACCAACAACAAUAAGUCAAUCAGAAUGAANANAUUUUGUAUUGCUGUCUGGCCACCCUUUAUGGACAAAUUGACGCUAACUUCUCAUCAUUGCCACAAAGAAAUCAAAAAUUAAGCAUGAACAAAACAUGUCUGAGGGUCAUCACAGGUUAACCAAACACAUGGAAGUUUACUACACAUGACAUGUCAUUAACACACAGCAUUUACAACAGCAAAGAAAUGAUCCAUUUGGUAGCAAAGAUUGAAAGAAAAGGAAGAUGUUUAACAGUGUUUUGACCAAAGUUACCCCCUGCUAAGAGGUUAUCUAUGAAAACCAUUUGACAAACAUCCUACAGCACAGGAAGAAUGACAGACUGUGACANCCAUUUAUGUUGAAGCAGUUCAAGAUUCUACAUUAAAAUGUCAUCAAACAUAAUCCUUGGCAUUUGAAAUGNCUAUGGAACAGUUAUACUUUGUACACAAAUCAAUAGCGACAACUGGACCUCGCACAAGGACGCCAAUACACUUAAUACAGGGAAAAGCAAGAUGACGGAAGUUCGUCAGCAAUGAAUCUACGUAUCAGCGUAUUUCAAGGUCAUCAAAUAAGGGAAAGUUUCUAUACAUCAAGUCAUAAUUCUGCGCAACUUUAAAGGUUAUUGCUUUACUUACAACACCGAUGAAGGAAUGCACCGAAUGUCNACAGAAUGGAUGCAAUUGGUUCUANAGCUGUGUAGAAAAUGAAGAUCACUAAUCUAGAUAAAAAGGCUUGAAUNAUUGGAAUCUUUUUUCAAGGAUCAACAAAUCAUGUUUAAUUGGUUCAAGUAAUUAUUACAAUCAUCUAUACCACGAUAUCACUCGUAUACUUUAUGGUUAAUUGAAGAGUNAUUCUCAAAAACCGUUUUGUUGGAUCAAGUUUAUAUGCUACUAGUCACGACCUUCGUCAUGGUUAAGUAUAUCGGCCGGACGUCAGCCCACGUCGAACAUGUCAUUUUUGACUUNACUGAAUUAACGCACGACCAAAUUGGACAACAGAACUUCGAUUAACAGAAAGGUUAAUGUAUUCAUCACUAAAUAGAUCUAUAUCAUCAAAUAUACAUGUUUCAAACGUCACACUUUGCGGGUUAUGAAUUCGAAGUCUAAGGUCUACUAUUUGGUGAUGUGAAAAACUGAUAAUAGUCUCAAAGACAAGGUGUGGAUCAGGGCGACGUGUCGUACAGUUUUAACGUCCUUGUAAAGUUAAUGUUGUCUGUAAUUCAUCUACGGCGAGCUGUCGUUGCGUAGGAAGACGUUUUGACCACUAGUGAUCAUAAUGCAACUAAUAGUAAUUAAUUUAAUAAAAAGAGGAAGGAUAAAAUGAUAUUUCAUGUGUGCUUGUGGUCAAUUAUGUGUUCAACUAUCAUUAAUGCAUGGUCAACUGUCCAAGACUCACAGGAAGUAAUAAUUUGAUGAUGCAUGAAUAAUUAAGCUUGUAAGACCUUUUGCAGUACCAAAGUCUACUAUGCAACAAAAGAUANCCUUACCUGUACCAAGGAAAGCCUUUUCACACUUCCUUCGUCGAUAGAAAGACUNUUUGCAAGAGUAAGAUCGAGUUUUGUACUGUUUAUAUUAAUUUGACGUCCACAGAAAACCUAGCGAGUACAAUUAAAGUGAUGAA